Molecule: ribosomal RNA, 582 nt
Filed under: uncultured fungus
Lineage: Eukaryota; Fungi
Description: eukaryotic LSU rRNA
Rfam family: 5.8S ribosomal RNA (bases 211-364)
Source: RNAcentral
AGUCGUAACAAGGUCUCCGUAGGUGAACCUGCGGAGGGAUCAUUACACAAAUAUGAAGGCGGGCUGGAACCUCUCGGGGUUACAGCCUUGCUGAAUUAUUCACCCUUGUCUUUUGCGUACUUCUUGUUUCCUUGGUGGGUUCGCCCACCACUAGGACAAACAUAAACCUUUUGUAAUUGCAAUCAGCGUCAGUAACAAAUUAAUAAUUACAACUUUCAACAACGGAUCUCUUGGUUCUGGCAUCGAUGAAGAACGCAGCGAAAUGCGAUAAGUAGUGUGAAUUGCAGAAUUCAGUGAAUCAUCGAAUCUUUGAACGCACAUUGCGCCCUUUGGUAUUCCAAAGGGCAUGCCUGUUCGAGCGUCAUUUGUACCCUCAAGCUUUGCUUGGUGUUGGGCGUCUUGUCUCUAGCUUUGCUGGAGACUCGCCUUAAAGUAAUUGGCAGCCGGCCUACUGGUUUCGGAGCGCAGCACAAGUCGCACUCUCUAUCAGCAAAGGUCUAGCAUCCAUUAAGCCUUUUUUUUCAACUUUUGACCUCGGAUCAGGUAGGGAUACCCGCUGAACUUAAGCAUAUCAAUAAGUCG